UAUAUUUACGUUUCGUCUUACGAUUCUACGAAUUACGAUUUUAUGCCAGCUCAUCGAGUCGAAGUAAAAACUACGAGUUUACUACCUUGGUUACCAAUUCCUAUUCCUAAACACACUAGGAUUCAUAUUCUCCCAGAAACCCUCUCGCAAACCGUUGCAUGUUUUUUCGCUCAGUGCUUUCAAUCGGUGCUCACAAUCAUUGUUUCCUUUGAAAUCAAGAAUCAAAAAAUCAUUCUCCAUUACAAUCUCUUCCUCUUCCUCUUUCUAUAAGAAGAGUUGCAUUAUUCUAAUCUGAUCGUAGUGUGCGUGAGUGAUUGAAUCGGAAAUGCGAUGAAAAGGGGAAAAUUCAAGAGCAAGCCCACCGGUUGCCACCAGUUCUCCAUGCCAGAAGAUCUCUCCGCUUUCGGACUUCGCUGGCUAUGGAGUUUACAUAACACAUUCUUUCCUUGAUCACUUGUGUCCUUUCAGGCAAAAACAAUCGGAAAGGAUACUACAUUUAUGAAAAGGGUAGCAAGCCAAAACCCGAUCUUUCAAUACUACCAAUUGUUGAAGAGUCGAGAAGACUUGCCAAUAUUAUGCAUGGUGGAAAGCUUGUGUAGUGAAGCCGAUAGCAUUUAUUUCUUUUGCAGCCUAUAUCUAUUACUGACCAAGAGAUUUUAGAGAUGAUACUCUUUCCAAUAGUGAACGAGGCAUGCCGUGUUUUAGAUGAAGGAAUGGUUAUUCGAGCAUCAGACCUCGACAUUGCUUGUGUUCUUGGGAUGAGCUUCCCUAGGUACAGCUUUCUAGUUGGGGCGAAGCAUGUAUAUAACAGCCUAAAGAAAUGGUCAGAAUUAUAUGGUAACUUCUAUAAGCCAUCAAGGUAUCUGGAGGAAAGGGCAAUUCAGGGCAUUCCUUUGAUAUCAGACGUCCAAUUGAAGAUGGAAUGAACACAAGGCUUCUGCAACCGUGCAAGCUCAACUCCUCAAGACCUACCAAAUUUUGCAUUGUUGAAGGGAGCUUCUUGAGAUUUGAGCAACCACGAAGAUAUAGUUUUCUUAGCCAUUUCAGCUUAAAAAGGUUAAUUGGAAGGGAUGUGAGGGAUUCACAAUAAGAGAGAUCUAACCAACAAAGCUCUGAGAGACUUGGAAAUAAUGAUGAAGGUGAAUGGUUGGAAAGUGAAAACUUUACUUGGGAUUCCAGACCACCUGCAGAGAUGAACUUGGUUGACUGGUUUAAGGGAAUGGUAAUAAGUCGUCGCAGCGAUGAGCUAGUCAAGCAGAUAAAUACAUUUUUCUAAGAUUAGUAUAAGGAUUAAGUUUUUUAUGUACAUAGUAUCACUUUUUCUUUUCUUUUUUAUAUGGAAUGUUUAUAGAGUUUAAGUGCUAUAAGUAUUUUUUUCUUUUUCCAUUUUAUUUGCAUCACGAAGCAAAUUUGUACAAUGAUUAUUGAUUAAUGAAAGAGGCUAUAAAAAUUUCAUUUUGUGAA
This is a long non-coding RNA of Arachis stenosperma, 1464 nucleotides long. RefSeq lists it as uncharacterized. NCBI's taxonomy places the organism in Eukaryota, Viridiplantae, Streptophyta, Magnoliopsida, Fabales, Fabaceae. The transcript has 9 exons. The record is from RefSeq and is a predicted model, not a curated record.